UCAGCAGCAGCAGCAAAGGCAGCUAAGUACGGAGCUGGUGUUCCUGGCAUCGCUGGCGUUCCUGGCAUUGCCGGUGUUCCUGGAGUUCCUGGUGUUCCUGGUGUUCCUGGUGUUCCUGGAGUUCCCGGUGUUCCUGGUGUUCCUGGCGCUGUGCCCGGUGUUGGAGUGGGUGGCCCGGCAGCGGCGGCUGCAGCCAAGGCUGCGGCAAAAGCAGCGGCGAUCGGAGCAGGACGCGUGCCCGGCGUUGGCGUGCCCGGCGUUGGCGUGCCCGGCGUUGGCGUUCCCGGAGUGCGUGUGCCUGGAGUGGGUGUGCCUGGAGUGGGUGUGCCUGGUGCUGGCGUGCCCGGUUUGGUGCCCGGGGUCGGUGUUCCAGGAGGUCCGGCAGCCGCUGCCAAAGCCGCCGCCAAAGCAGCCAAGUACGGAGCAGGUGGCCUGGCUCCCGGCGUGGGUGGCCUGGCUCCCGGCGUGGGUGGCCUGGUUCCUGGAGUAGGUGGCCUGGUUCCUGGAGUAGGUGGCCUGGUUCCCGGUGUUGGAGGUGUCCCAGGUGUUGGAGGUCCAGCAGCAGCAGCCAAAGCAGCAGCCAAGGCAGCCAAAUUUGGUGCUGGGGCUGGAGGGGUGCCCGGUGUGGGCGGAGUGCCCGGAGUGACCCCCGGCGUUGGUGGCGUGCCCGGCUUGGUGCCAGGGGUGGGAGUACCUGGAACUGGCAUCCUUCCCGGGGCAGGCAUCCCCCAAGUAGGGGUGCAGCCCGGUGCUAAACCUCCCAAAUUCGGUGUUCCUGGGGUUGGAGUCCCAGGAGUUGGUGGCCUCCCAGGUGGCCUAGGAGUCGGUGGGCUCGGAGCUGGUGGCCUCGGGGUUGGAGUUCCCGGCUUCGGCGUAUCACCGAUAUUUCCAGGUGGGGUCGGCGGCCUGGGAUUUGGCGGGAAGCCCCCCAAGCCCUACGGAGGAGCCCUGGGUGCCCUGGGCUUUAGAGGUGAGCGCGUUUCCCGGCUGGCAGGGCCGGUUGUGCCCCCGGCCGUGCCCCCGGCAGUGCGGGCUGCGGGGUGCGGGCUGCGGGGUGCGGGGUGCGGGCUGCGGGCAGGGCUCACCCCGCGUUCCGUGCAGGCGGAGCGGGCUGUGCGGCAGGGAAGUACUGCGGCAGGAAGCGGAAGUAACGCUCCGUCACCGAUCACCUCAUGAACUUUGGUGCUACUGCAUGGUCCAGAAUGUAAAUCCGAAGCAAAGCUGAGACACCCCCUCCUCAGGCCCCGGAACCCCCCCCCGUCCAUGCCGGGGCCGUGCCCGGCCCCGCGUUCCACGGAGGGACCCCGCGUUCCCCGGCAGCGUCCGGGGCCCCCCGGCCCUCGGUCCCGGCAGGGAGCGCGGAAUAAAGUGCGGGGAGCAGCCGUCCCCCUUGGUGCU
This 1398-nucleotide long non-coding RNA is filed under the name Parus major (Great Tit). RNAcentral describes it as "lncRNA (ENSPMJG00000018864.1)". Lineage: Eukaryota; Metazoa; Chordata; Aves; Passeriformes; Paridae. The record is from RNAcentral.